GUGGGGAAUCUUAGACAAUGGGGGAAACCCUGAUCUAGCCAUGCCGCGUGAGCGAUGAAGGCCUUAGGGUUGUAAAGCUCUUUCAGCUGGGAAGAUAAUGACGGUACCAGCAGAAGAAGCCCCGGCUAACUCCGUGCCAGCAGCCGCGGUAAUACGGAGGGGGCUAGCGGUGUUCGGAAUUACUGGGCGUAAAGCGCGCGUAGGCGGACCAGAAAGUUGGAGGUGAAAUCCCAGGGCUCAACCUUGGAACUGCCUUCAAAACUCCUGGUCUGGAGUUCGAGAGAGGUGAGUAGAAUUCCGAGUGUAGAGGUGAAAUUCGUAGAUAUUCGGAGGAACACCAGUGGCGAAGGCGGCUCACUGGCUCGAUACUGACGCUGAGGUGCGAAAGCGUGGGGAGCAAACAGGAUUAGAUACCCGAGUAGUCC
Molecule: ribosomal RNA, 425 nt
Filed under: uncultured bacterium
Lineage: Bacteria
Description: partial 16S ribosomal RNA
Rfam family: Bacterial small subunit ribosomal RNA
Source: RNAcentral